Molecule: ribosomal RNA, 191 nt
Filed under: uncultured bacterium
Lineage: Bacteria
Description: partial 16S ribosomal RNA
Rfam family: Bacterial small subunit ribosomal RNA
Source: RNAcentral
ACGCUCGACACCUACUGGAGGCAGCAGUGGGGAAUAUUGCACAAUGGGGGAAACCCUGAUGCAGCGACGCCGCGUGGAGGAAGAAGGUCUUCGGAUUGUAAACUCCUGUUGUUGGGGAAAAAGAGGAUGGUACCCAACAAGGAAGUGACGGCUAACUACGUGCCANGCGCGUAUAUNGNGGCGNGNGAGAG